AGUGAGAGGGCUUGGGGUAAGGAGGCUAAGGAAAAAAAAAAGCUCCCAGUUAUAUAACGAUUUAAAAUUAGGUGACUUUUGCUGGGGAGAUUCCGAGAUUUCCUCUUGCGCUAGGUCGGUUGGUAAAAGAUUCUCAAACUUUUUUUCCGUAAGAGCCAAUAAACAAACAGGCGCCCCGGGUGCUGACUUCAACUCUUAUAGAGGGCUGGCGCUUGCUGGGAUUCUGACUCUGAGAAAUGCACACCCCUGCGGCGCUGGCGGUGAAGUCCCUCGGAAACGAGGCGGUUCCCUUUCAGCCUUAGGACUCCUCGGGCUUUCCCGGCGGGAGAACGUCUCUUACCAUCGCCGCCCCCUGGCUCCUCUCGGGCAUUUUAGAGCACUGGCGGGCUGGGAUCAAGCUGCCCAUCGCCCGCGGCCUCGGGAACUUGCAUUUGCAUUUUGGGCGCGGCGCUCCUGCCACAGUGCUGGGUUAAGGACCUCUAAGGGAUUCGGGAUCCCGGGGACGCUUCGGGUUGAAUCUUGCGGGGCAACCUGUCGGCGCUGCCCGGAUGGACCGGUUUUCCCUCCGUGGGCAUCUCGAUGCUUCGGCACCUCCCGGGCGUGAGCUGAAAGCGAGCUUGCAGUACCCAAGCCUAGGGCGAGGGGAGACUGGCCGGGGUCUGCUUGUGACACUCGGAGCGCAGAGAGAAAACAAAAGAAACCUGGAACCCGGAGUCAUUGCGGCGUCUCUGCUUGCCCGCCCUGAGGAGGAGCCGGCGCGGAGCGUCGGAGCUUCUUGGCCAGCCUCCGCUCCGGGGAAUUAGAACGAACUCUAGCGGCGGUUUGCGACUCAGCUCUGGGCGCGAGGGCAGCAACAGAAGCUGAGAAAGAUUGUAUGCAAAGGAGGUUCUCUGUUGCUGAGAUGGAGGUUUCAUGUGGCCGGGACCUGAGAGCCGGCUCUAGAAGCUGAGAGCAGUCCCCGGUGGGCAGUUGACAAGACAGCGGGGACCACUGUUGUACAACCAUAAGGAACUGAAUUCUGCCACUAACCACGGAGCUUGGAGGAAUACCCUGCCACCCAGACCAGGACAGCACUCCCGGCUGACAGCUUGAUUUCGCCCAGUGAGGCCCUGGGCAGAAAACCCAGUCGCACCAUGCCCAGACUUCCAGUCUACAGACGGUGCGGUUGCCAGUUUCUUCAGCUCCAAAGUCUUGUGCAUAGGAAGCAACAGAAAACCCAGGGGAAUCCCUGCUACCUCGUUCCUCCGAUCCUGAGUUCCUGCACCGGGCUGCCUUCUUCUCACCAUCUUUCAGAGCCUUUCUAUGUCUGUUUUACUUAAGUUGUGCAGAGAUUUUUGUUGCACCUAGCAGAAGAAACAGAGAACAGUGUGUCUACUCCGUCUUCUCCAAAGCGGAAGUCUUAAAUGGUGGAAUUUUAAAGACAUUUCCAGAGGUUUAUCGUGAGGACUUCCCUCCUGGAGGACAGUGAUUAUCCUUCUAUUGCCCUUAUACAGGACUCUGGGCCGGCCAUCCUUAGGAAGGAACUAGGUGCCGGGGGACAUCCUGGCUGGAAGACCUGCCUUUAAUGUACUCGGAAUCUUUAAAGGGUCGUAACUCAUUUCCCUUUUAGAGAAACCAAGGAGACGUCUCCAUCUGCCCUCGUGGACACAGCUUGCUGCCGGGCUCGAACCCCAGUCCUGUCAUGACAGUGUGAAGCUUCGAGUGCGGUCGCCAUGAUGACGGCACCGAGGAAAGGGCCAGGAGAAGCAUCCUGCUGUGUGCCCUUGGGCAGUGCAUGUCAGCUCUCUGGGCCUCCGCUUCUCCAUUGCAAAUGCAGGAGCAAUGGGCCUGGAGCACAUCAGGGUUUCCAGCUUCGACCAUUCAUAGAGCACCGGCUUGAGUUUCCUAUGGCAGGAGCUCCUGCUUUUUAGUUUGCUUCUCCGUGAUCGACUCACAGGAAACUUCAUGUUGCUGUGGGACGCGUGCCCCUCAGCAGGAGGGUGGCCGUGCUGGCCAGGUGCACCCACAACCAGGUGUCCUCGGAAGUCUCAACCUUCGUCUGAAGGGGACGGUCACUUGGGCUCAUAAAUUCAAGGUGCUCGCUACCUAUGCCCUAACGGAGAAUCUAACAAAACGUGUCCUCCUGGCCAUGUGCCCGUCACAAAGACGUUCCGAGUACAGACGCCCCAAGCUCUGCAAUGUGGUGGUAUCGCCCCCUCCUCAGACUGUGGACAGCACACCCGUGGUUGGUUCAUUUGAAAUUUUCUAACCAUGCCCUUCCUUUCUCCCUCCAGGUCUAGGGCACUUAAUUUAAAAAAAAAAAAAACAACCAACAACCCUCCCUUAUUCCUACACGUUUUGGAGCAUUUAACAUCAUAGCCUCCCCGUGAACACCCUGUCUGCUCCCCGUCCCCUGCGACAGAAUGCUGCCUGCCUGCAUAGCUCCUCGUUAAGUGCAAGUGAGUGGAAACUCAUCUCCUUCGGAUACUUCUGCGAACUCCGUGACACUCACGAUGGAUGGCGUUGUAAACCAGCCAGCCCCUCUUGGACUCCCUCCUGGUACCUGACUCUGGGCAGUGCCUGGGGAGGUGACUGUCCCCUCGGGGGGCCGGACUUCCCACUGACAGCGGAUGGCUCCCUGGAGGGCUGGGAAGGCACAUCCCAGCUGGGACCGAGUGUAGGACUCUGGUUCCUUCAUCGAACUCAUCCACUCCCUGUCUAAAAUGCACAAUUAUAACUCUGGAUGGUGCCAGGUGUAUACUAGACUCACCGGAGCGAUCCCUUUGUGAAGUAUAUAAAUGUCUAAUCACUCUGUUGUGCCCCUGAAGCUAAUAUAAUAUUGUAUGUCCACUGUAAUUGAAACAAAUUUUAAAAAGUAAGCAUCUACUCAGGUCUGGAAAUAAAAUCACGGUUAGUUUAAGUUGCAAAUAAUAACAAUUAAGGAUUGAGGCAAAGUUGUUAUAAAAUAUCUUUUUAUGUUUUGCUCUGUUGUUUUAAAAUGUAAUGUUCCUUUGUGAUACCUUCCUAGUUGAUUUCAAAAAUAUUAUAUAUAAUUUUCACAAAAUAAAAAUAAAAAGGAAGGUCC
This is a long non-coding RNA of Phyllostomus hastatus (greater spear-nosed bat), 3064 nucleotides long. RefSeq lists it as uncharacterized. The record is from RefSeq and is a predicted model, not a curated record. The transcript has 3 exons. Lineage: Eukaryota; Metazoa; Chordata; Mammalia; Chiroptera; Phyllostomidae.